This 404-nucleotide ribosomal RNA is filed under the name uncultured bacterium. RNAcentral's name for it is "bacterial SSU rRNA". It matches the Rfam family "Bacterial small subunit ribosomal RNA", at positions 28 to 412 of the family's 1533-position model. The record is from RNAcentral.
GACGAACGCUGGCGGCGUGCCUAAUACAUGCAAGUCGAACGGUCUUUUCUAUGGAAGCUUGCUUCCACUGAGAAGAUAGUGGCGAACGGGUGAGUAACACGUGGGUAACCUGCCCAUAAGAGGGGGAUAACAUCCGGAAACGGGUGCUAAUACCGCAUAGUUUUCUUGAUCGCAUGAUCGGGAAAGGAAAGACGGCCUUUGUGCUGUCGCUUAUGGAUGGACCCGCGGCGUAUUAGUUAGUUGGUGAGGUAACGGCUCACCAAGACGAUGAUACGUAGCCGACCUGAGAGGGUGAUCGGCCACAUUGGGACUGAGACACGGCCCAAACUCCUACGGGAGGCAGCAGUAGGGAAUCUUCCGCAAUGGACGAAAGUCUGACGGAGCAACGCCGCGUGAGUGAAGAA